GAUGAACGCUAGCGGCGUGCCUAAUACAUGCAAGUCGAACGAACGGAUUGAGGAGCUUGCUCUUCAUGAAGUUAGUGGCGGACGGGUGAGUAACACGUGGGUAACCUGCCCUUCAGUGGGGGAUAACAUCCGGAAACGGGUGCUAAUACCGCAUAGUUUCUUUUUCCGCCUGGAAGAAGAAGGAAAGAUGGCCUUUGCGCUAUCACUGAGGGAUGGACCCGCGGCGUAUUAGUUAGUUGGUGGGGUAAUGGCCUACCAAGACGAUGAUACGUAGCCGACCUGAGAGGGUGAUCGGCCACAUUGGGACUGAGACACGGCCCAA
This 322-nucleotide ribosomal RNA is filed under the name uncultured bacterium. Its description in RNAcentral is "bacterial SSU rRNA". It matches the Rfam family "Bacterial small subunit ribosomal RNA", at positions 28 to 334 of the family's 1533-position model. The record is from RNAcentral.